AGGAUCGACAGCAGAGUGAAGGCCAGAUUGAAGGUCUUGCUAGACGAGCUGAGAGGAGGUGCAUGGCCAUCGCCAGUUCGUGCCGUGAGGUGUCCUCUUAAGUGAGGUAACGAACGAGACCCCCACCCCAUGUUGCCAUCAGGAUCUAAAGGAUCGCUGGGCACUCUUGGGGGACCGCUGCCGACAAGGCUGAGGAAGGUGGGGGGCCACGGUAGGUCAGUAUGCCCCGAAUAUCCUGGGCCACACGCGGGCUGCAAUGGUAGGGACAGAGGGCUGCAACAUCGAGAGAUGGAGCCAAUCCCUAAACCCUACCUCAGUUGGGAUCGAGGGCUGCAACCCGCCCUCGUGAACAUGGAAUGCCUAGUAACCGCGCGUCAUCAUCGCGCAGUGAAUACGUCCCUGCUCCUU
This 408-nucleotide ribosomal RNA is filed under the name uncultured crenarchaeote. RNAcentral's name for it is "bacterial SSU rRNA". It matches the Rfam family "Archaeal small subunit ribosomal RNA", at positions 932 to 1338 of the family's 1478-position model. Lineage: Archaea; Thermoproteati; Thermoproteota. The record is from RNAcentral.